GAGAGAGAAACGAAAAAAACGAUGAUUGCUAAUCUUCGUCCCCUCGGUUAAACUCCGGGGCUCACUCG
This 68-nucleotide transfer RNA is filed under the name Hemiramphus far (blackbarred halfbeak). RNAcentral describes it as "tRNA-Ser". The record is from RNAcentral. Lineage: Eukaryota; Metazoa; Chordata; Actinopteri; Beloniformes; Hemiramphidae.